UUGUGAGUGGGCAUCUUGUAUAAUUACACUACAUACACGUUUUCUAGCAGAAAUAAUGUUAAUUUGUAAUUGUCCUGUUUAUAGUUACAUCCCUCUCAUAAUAUUAUAAAGCGCUACAGAAUCUGUUGGCGCUAUAUAAAUGGCGAUAGUAAUUUAUUUACACAAAUGCUCAUUUUUAGUCAUGAUUCAUUUAGAAAUUGAUCCAAUGGUAAAAUAAUUAUAAAAUGCAGUAGUAAGGUUGUUCUUUGACCUGUGAACUAAAAUAUAAAUAAUGAGAACCUCUUUCGAAAAAAACUCUACAAAAACAUUUUUUUUAGAAAACCAUGUGUUUAAGAAAUUGGGUAUCAAGAUAAAAAAAGCCUGGCCAUGUAAAAAUUGCUUUUCAGGGUUAUAGGAUUAUAUAACCUUAAAAUAUUGCAGUUUAAGAAAUUUUUACAAAGUAUGGCUUCACUAUUGGGGAUGAAAAGAGAACAUUGCAUAAUACAGGUUUUAUUAGCAUGAAGUGGUUUGGACCCUAUUGAAAGGAAAUGUUUGUUACAUUGCAGGAAUACGAAUUUAUUAAAAGUAGGUAUGCUCAGUAUAUUACAUUAUUAAAAAAUAAAAAAAAGCAAUCCAUGAAUUCACUUCUAGUAUUUUACAAAAAAGACACAUUAAGAUGUCUGUCUGCUGUUAUAAGUGAAGGGUCAUCUGGUUUCUGUUAGGUUAACCUGAAUCAAAUAACAAACAAAAGCAUUUUCUGAACAUCAUCUGGAGACACAAAGAAGAGAAGAGUUCCUCUACCUGCAGAGAAAUGGUAAUUUGUAAGAGCCUUUCUAUUCCUAGAUUAGAAAACAAAAGAUAAGAGCAGGGGAGAAUAUCAUUGCUAAAUGCCAAAUGAAAUAAAGGGGAUUCCGAAAGAGAUGCUGACAUUACAAAACAAUCU
Molecule: non-coding RNA, 922 nt
Organism: Pelobates cultripes (western spadefoot toad)
Lineage: Eukaryota; Metazoa; Chordata; Amphibia; Anura; Pelobatidae
Source: the annotation of a GenBank genome assembly